Molecule: ribosomal RNA, 433 nt
Filed under: uncultured bacterium
Lineage: Bacteria
Description: partial 16S ribosomal RNA
Rfam family: Bacterial small subunit ribosomal RNA
Source: RNAcentral
GACGAACGCUGGCGGCAUGCCUAACACAUGCAAGUCGAACGAGACCUUCGGGUCUAGUGGCGCACGGGUGCGUAACGCGUGGGAACCUGCCUUUAGGUUCGGAAUAACUCAGAGAAAUUUGAGCUAAUACCGGAUGAUGUCUUCGGACCAAAGAUUUAUCGCCUUUAGAUGGGCCCGCGUUGGAUUAGCUAGUUGGUGGGGUAAAGGCCUACCAAGGCGACGAUCCAUAGCUGGUCUGAGAGGAUGAUCAGCCACACUGGGACUGAGACACGGCCCAGACUCCUACGGGAGGCAGCAGUGGGGAAUAUUGGACAAUGGGCGAAAGCCUGAUCCAGCAAUGCCGCGUGAGUGAUGAAGGCCUUAGGGUUGUAAAGCUCUUUUACCCGAGAUGAUAAUGACAGUAUCGGGAGAAUAAGCUCCGGCUAACUCCGUG